RNAcentral lists this ribosomal RNA (400 nucleotides) under uncultured bacterium. RNAcentral's name for it is "bacterial SSU rRNA". It matches the Rfam family "Bacterial small subunit ribosomal RNA", at positions 355 to 772 of the family's 1533-position model. The record is from RNAcentral.
UGGGGAAUAUUGGACAAUGGGCGAAAGCCUGAUCCAGCAAUACCGCGUGAAUGAUGAAGGCCUUAGGGUUGUAAAGUUCUUUUAGUAGGAAAGAUAAUGACGGUACCUACAGAAAAAGCCCCGGCUAACUCCGUGCCAGCAGCCGCGGUAAGACGGAGGGGGCUAGCGUUGUUCGGAAUUACUGGGCGUAAAGAGCGCGUAGGCGGAUUUACAAGUUGGGAGUGAAAUCCCGGGGCUUAACCUCGGAACUGCUUCCAAAACUGUUUAUCUUGAGUAUGGUAGGGGAUGAUGGAAUUCCUAGUGUAGAGGUGAAAUUCUUAGAUAUUAGGAGGAACACCGGUGGCGAAAGCGAUCAUCUGGACCAUAACUGACGCUGAGGCGCGAAAGCGUGGGGAGCAAA